Molecule: ribosomal RNA, 453 nt
Filed under: uncultured bacterium
Lineage: Bacteria
Description: bacterial SSU rRNA
Rfam family: Bacterial small subunit ribosomal RNA
Source: RNAcentral
UACGGGAGGCAGCAGUGGGGAAUAUUGCACAAUGGGCGCAAGCCUGAUGCAGCCAUGCCGCGUGUAUGAAAAAGGCCUUCGGGUUGUAAAGUACUUUCAGUCGUGAGGAAGGUGUUAAGGUUAAUAACCUUAGCAAUUGACGUUAGCGACAGAAGAAGCACCGGCUAACUCCGUGCCAGCAGCCGCGGUAAUACGGAGGGUGCGAGCGUUAAUCGGAAUUACUGGGCGUAAAGGGCACGCAGGCGGUUAAUUAAGUUGGAUGUGAAAUCCCCGGGCUUAACCUGGGAAUGGCAUUCAAGACUGGUUAGCUAGAGUCUUGUAGAGGGGGUAGAAUUCCAUGUGUAGCGGUGAAAUGCGUAGAGAUGUGGAGGAAUACCGGUGGCGAAGGCGGCCCCUCGGACGAAGAACUGACGCUCAUGUGCGAAAGCGUGGGGAGGCAAACAGGGAUUAGAU